UCCGAAGAUUUCCGAAUGAGGAAACUCACUUAGAGUAAUGUCUAAGUAUCAUUAAGUGAAUACAUAGCUUAAUGAGGGGAACUCAGGGAACUGAAACAUCUAAGUACCUGAAGGAAGAGAAAGAAAUUCGAUUCCGUAAGUAGCGGCGAGCGAACGCGGAUUAGCCCAAACCAAUAAAGUUUUCUUUAUUGGGGUUGCGGACAUAUCAUAACGAAGAGGUAUCGUAAUUGAAGAGGUUUGGAAAGACCCACCACAGAAGGUAAUAGUCCUGUAUGUUAAACGAGAAGACUUUA
Molecule: ribosomal RNA, 293 nt
Filed under: Clostridioides difficile
Lineage: Bacteria; Bacillati; Bacillota; Clostridia; Peptostreptococcales; Peptostreptococcaceae
Description: partial 23S ribosomal RNA
Rfam family: Bacterial large subunit ribosomal RNA
Source: RNAcentral